GACGAACGCUGGCGGCGUGCUUAACACAUGCAAGUCGAACGGAAAGGCCCUGCUUUUGUGGGGUGCUCGUGUGGCGCACGGGUGAGUAACACGUGAGUAACCUGCCCUUGACUUUGGGAUAACUUCAGGAAACUGGGGCUAAUACCGGAUAGGAGCUCCUGCUGCAUGGUGUGGGUUGGAAAGUUUCGGCGGUUGGGGAUGGACUCGCGGCUUAUCAGCUUGUUGGUGGGGUAGUGGCUUACCAAGGCUUUGACGGGUAGCCGGCCUGAGAGGGGGACCGGCCACAUGGGGACUGAGAGACGGCCCAGACGGCUACGGGAGGCAGCAGGGGGGAAUAUGACACAAUGGGCGGAAGCCUGAUGCAGCAACGCCGCGUGCGGGAUGACGGCCUUCGGGUGGUAAACCGCUUUCGACGGUGACGAAGCGUGAGUGACGGUAAUGGGUAAAGAAGCACCGGCUAACUACGUG
This 468-nucleotide ribosomal RNA is filed under the name uncultured bacterium. RNAcentral's name for it is "partial 16S ribosomal RNA". It matches the Rfam family "Bacterial small subunit ribosomal RNA", at positions 28 to 507 of the family's 1533-position model. The record is from RNAcentral.